This 482-nucleotide ribosomal RNA is filed under the name uncultured bacterium. RNAcentral describes it as "partial 16S ribosomal RNA". It matches the Rfam family "Bacterial small subunit ribosomal RNA", at positions 30 to 507 of the family's 1533-position model. The record is from RNAcentral.
AUUGAACGCUGGCGGCAUGCCUUACACAUGCAAGUCGAACGGUAACAGGUCUUCGUAUGCUGUCUAGUGUCGACCGGGUGCGUAAUACAUCCGAACGUGCCCGCUCGUUGGGGGUAACGCAGCGCAAGCUGUGCUCAUACCGCAUACGAUCUACGGAUUAAAACCGGGGAUCGCAAGACCUCGCGCCGACGGUGCUGCCGCUUGCAGAUUAGUUCGUUGGUCGGAUAAAAGCUUACCAAGCCGACGAUCUGUAGCUGGUCUGAGAGGACGACCAGCCACACUGGGACUGAGGCACGGCCCAGACUCCUACGGGAGGCAGCAGUGGGGAAUUUUGGACAAUGGGCGCAAGCCUGAUCCAGCCAUGCCGCGUGAAGGAUGAAGGCCUUCGGGUUGUAAAAUGCUUUUGUAAGGAACGAAAAAGCGCUCUCGAAUACAGGGGGUGAAUGACGGUACCGUAAGAAUAAGCACCGGCUAACUACGUG